Long non-coding RNA from Clupea harengus (Atlantic herring), 952 nucleotides. NCBI's taxonomy places the organism in Eukaryota, Metazoa, Chordata, Actinopteri, Clupeiformes, Clupeidae. The record is from Ensembl.
GAUCCAUAUAAAAGUACAUCAUGUAUGUUUUGUGGUUUUGUACUCAAAAGUACAUCAUGUAUGUUUUGUGGUGGUGUGUGGUGGUGUGUGGAGGUGGUGUGGAGGUGGUGUAGUGGUGUGUGGAGGUGUGUGGUGGGGUGUGGAGGUGGUGUAGGGGUGUGUGGAGGUGUGUAGUGGUGUGUGGAGGUGGUGUAGUGGUGUGUGGAGGUGGUGUAGUGGGGUGUGGAGGCGUGUGGAGGUGGUGUAGUGGGGUGUGGAGGUGUGUGGAGGUGGUGUAGUGGUGUGUGGAGGUGUGUAGUGGUGUGUGGAGGUGGUGUAGUGGUGUGUGGAGGUGGUGUAGUGGGGUGUGGAGGCGUGUGGAGGUGUUGUAGUGGUGUGUGGAGGCGUGUGGAGGUGGUGUAGUGGUGUGUGGAGGUGUGUGGAGGUGGUGUAGUGGUGUGUGGAGGUGUGUAGUGGUGUGUGGAGGCGUGUGGAGGUGGUGUAGUGGGGUGUGGAGGUGGUGUAGUGGUGUGUGGAGGUGGUGUAGUGGGGUGUGGAGGUGGUGUAGUGGGGUGUGGAGGUGUGUAGUGGUGUGUGGAGGUGGUGUAGUGGUGUGUGGAGGUGGUGUAGUGGUGUGUGGAGGUGUGUAGUGGUGUGUGGAGGUGGUGUAGUGGGGUGUGGAGGUGUGUGGAGGUGGUGUAGUGGUGUGUGGAGGUGUGUAGUGGUGUGUGGAGGUGGUGUAGUGGUGUGUGGUGGGGUGUGGAGGUGGUGUAGUGGUGUGUGGAGGUGUGUGGUGGGGUGUGGAGGUGGUGUAGUGGUGUGUGGAGGUGGUGUAGUGGGGUUUGGAGGCGUGUGGAGGUGGUGUAGUGGUGUGUGGAGGCGUGUGGAGGUGGUGUAGUGGUGUGUGGAGGUGGUGUAGUGGGGUGUGGAGGUGUGUGGUGGGGUGUGGAGGUGGUGUAGUGGUGUGUGGAGG